Molecule: long non-coding RNA, 558 nt
Filed under: Malus domestica (apple)
Lineage: Eukaryota; Viridiplantae; Streptophyta; Magnoliopsida; Rosales; Rosaceae
Description: long non-coding RNA (MDOM_LNC011098)
Source: RNAcentral
AGAAAAAAAGGGAGAAAAGGGAGGUAGGAGAUCGUUCUAUAUUUUAUAAGCAUUCUAAACAAAUACUGACUUGGAUGUCGGAGUGUUUUCUUGCAGGUCCCCCUGCUCUCAUUGUUGACAAGCGAAGAUGGUGUCCAAGGCUUCUCAACGUGUUCAAAAUUACUUGUUGGUGGAGAAUUGGAGUACCCGAAAUUUUCCGCUCCAACAGGCGGUUCUAAUAGCAAGUUUAGGUUAGAGUUUGUUUCCCGUUACAGGUUUGAAACUUUUGCAUUGCGAAGCCUUGGUCGAAUGUACCACUCAGGUUGAUUUCUCCAUUACGGUUGCCUCAGUGGCUGCUGGCAAGGUGUUUGGGGCGGCACCGGCAACGUUUUACCAUUGCAAGAUUAGUAUUAGGGUUAUGCUUACUAUCCAGUUUUUUUUUUUUAUCUAGUUUUCCCACUUUGUUGUGGCCUUUUUGCUUAUCUAUUUAUUGGGGUAGUUGGCUUUACCCAAAUGUAGUACUUUAUAUUGUUUAAUGAAUGAUGCUCUUUUGACAAAAAAAAGAACCCUAUAAAUUAA